GAGGGUAUAGCUCAGUAGUAGAGCACAUGCUUAGCAUGCACAAGGUCCUGGGUUUGAUCCCCAGUAUCUCCA
RNAcentral lists this transfer RNA (72 nucleotides) under Camelus ferus (Wild Bactrian camel). It matches the Rfam family "tRNA". From Rfam's summary of the family: Transfer RNA (tRNA) molecules are approximately 80 nucleotides in length. Their secondary structure includes four short double-helical elements and three loops (D, anti-codon, and T loops). Lineage: Eukaryota; Metazoa; Chordata; Mammalia; Artiodactyla; Camelidae. The record is from Rfam by way of RNAcentral.